This 253-nucleotide ribosomal RNA is filed under the name uncultured bacterium. RNAcentral's name for it is "partial 16S ribosomal RNA". It matches the Rfam family "Bacterial small subunit ribosomal RNA", at positions 524 to 776 of the family's 1533-position model. The record is from RNAcentral.
UACGUAGGGGGCUAGCGUUGUCCGGAAUCAUUGGGCGUAAAGCGCGUGUAGGCGGUCCGGUAAGUCCGCUGUGAAAGUCGAGGGCUCAACCCUCGAAUGCCGGUGGAUACUGUCGGGCUUGAGUACGGGAGAGGCGAGUGGAAUUCCUGGUGUAGCGGUGAAAUGCGUAGAUAUCAGGAGGAACACCUGUGGUGUAGACAGCUUACUGGACCAUAACUGACGCUGAGGCACGAAAGCGUGGGUAGCAAACAGG